UGUCGUCAGCUCGUGUCGUGAGAUGUUGGGUUAAGUCCCGCAACGAGCGCAACCCUCAUCCUUAGUUGCCAUCAGGUAAUGCUGAGCACUUUAAGGAAACUGCCAGUGAUAAGCUGGAGGAAGAUGGGGAUGAUGUCAAGUCAUCAUGGCCUUUAUGAAGUGGGCUACACACGUGCUACAAUGGUGUCUACAAUGGGCUGCAAGGUGCGCAAGCCUAAGCUAAUCCCUAAAAGACAUCUCAGUUCGGAUUGUACUCUGCAACUCGAGUGCAUGAAGUUGGAAUCGCUAGUAAUCGUGGAUCAGCAUGCCACGGUGAAUACGUUCUCGGGUCUUGUACACACUGCCCGUCACGCCAUGGGAAUUG
Molecule: ribosomal RNA, 364 nt
Filed under: Wolbachia pipientis
Lineage: Bacteria; Pseudomonadati; Pseudomonadota; Alphaproteobacteria; Rickettsiales; Anaplasmataceae
Description: bacterial SSU rRNA
Rfam family: Bacterial small subunit ribosomal RNA
Source: RNAcentral